AUGACGCUGGCGCAGGCUUACACAUGCAGUCGAACGGUAACAUAAAGGAGUUUGCUUCUUUGAUGACGAGUGGCGGACGGGUGAGUAAUGCUUGGGAAUCUAGCUUAUGGAGGGGGAUAACUACGGGAAACUGUAGCUAAUACCGCGUAGUAUCGGGAGAUGAAAGUGUGGGACCUUCGGGCCACAUGCCAUAGGAUGAGCCCAAGUGGGAUUAGGUAGUUGGUGAGGUAAAGGCUCACCAAGCCGACGAUCUCUAGCUGGUCUGAGAGGAUGACCAGCCACACUGGGACUGAGACACGGCCCAGACUCCUACGGGAGGCAGCAGUGGGGAAUAUUGCGCAAUGGGGGCAACCCUGACGCAGCCAUGCCGCGUGAAUGAAGAAGGCCUUCGGGUUGUAAAGUUCUUUCGGUAGUCGAGGAAGGCAUUUAGUUUAAUAGACUAGGUGAUUGACGUUAACUAC
This 461-nucleotide ribosomal RNA is filed under the name Terrahaemophilus aromaticivorans. RNAcentral describes it as "bacterial SSU rRNA". It matches the Rfam family "Bacterial small subunit ribosomal RNA", at positions 33 to 482 of the family's 1533-position model. Lineage: Bacteria; Pseudomonadati; Pseudomonadota; Gammaproteobacteria; Pasteurellales; Pasteurellaceae. The record is from RNAcentral.